GGCCAGGGUGGUGGAGUGGUUAACACGUACCCCUGCUAAGGGUAUCUCUCCGGAGGCGCAAGUUCGAAUCUUGUCCUGGUCG
Molecule: transfer RNA, 82 nt
Filed under: Verticillium dahliae VdLs.17
Lineage: Eukaryota; Fungi; Ascomycota; Sordariomycetes; Glomerellales; Plectosphaerellaceae
Description: tRNA-Ser (GCT) (tRNA-Ser-GCT-3-1)
Rfam family: tRNA
About the family: Transfer RNA (tRNA) molecules are approximately 80 nucleotides in length.
Source: RNAcentral